Molecule: transfer RNA, 72 nt
Filed under: Ictidomys tridecemlineatus (thirteen-lined ground squirrel)
Lineage: Eukaryota; Metazoa; Chordata; Mammalia; Rodentia; Sciuridae
Description: Spermophilus tridecemlineatus (thirteen-lined ground squirrel) tRNA
Rfam family: tRNA
About the family: Transfer RNA (tRNA) molecules are approximately 80 nucleotides in length. Their secondary structure includes four short double-helical elements and three loops (D, anti-codon, and T loops).
Source: Rfam by way of RNAcentral
GAGGCCAUAGCUGAGAGGUAGAGCAUUUGACUGCAGAUCAAGAGGUCCCUGGUUCAGAUCCAGGUGGCCACU